AGCAGCCGCGGUAAUUCCAGCCCCAAUAGCGUAUAUUAAAGUUGUUGCAGUUAAAAAGCUCGUAGUUGAAUUUCGGGAUUGACGUGAUGGUCGUGCCUUACGGGGUAUGAACUGUUGCUGUUGAUUUCUCACCUUCUGGAGAAACUUGAUGUCCUUAAUUGGGUGUCUUGCGGAUCCAGGACCUUUACCUUGAAAAAAUUAGAGUGUUUAAAGCAGGCAUUUUGCUCGAAUACAUUAGCAUGGAAUAAUAGAAUAGGACGGCAUGGUUCUAUUUUGUUGGUUUCUAGGAUCACCGUAAUGAUUAAUAGGGAUAGUUGGGGGCAUUAGUAUUCAAUUGUCAGAGGUGAAAUUCUUGGAUUUAUUGAAGACUAACUACUGCGAAAGCAUUUGCCAAGGAUGUUUUCAUUAAUCAAGAACGAAAGUUAGGGGAUCGAAGACGAUCAGAUACCGUCCUACUCUUAACCAUAAACUAUGCCGACCAGGAAUCAGACGAUGUUAAUUUUUUAAUGACUCGUUUGGCACCUUACG
This 528-nucleotide ribosomal RNA is filed under the name uncultured Glomeromycotina. Its description in RNAcentral is "SSU rRNA". It matches the Rfam family "Eukaryotic small subunit ribosomal RNA", at positions 569 to 1092 of the family's 1831-position model. The record is from RNAcentral. Lineage: Eukaryota; Fungi; Glomeromycota.